RNAcentral lists this long non-coding RNA (886 nucleotides) under Homo sapiens (human). RNAcentral's name for it is "non-protein coding lnc-IGLL1-1:49". Lineage: Eukaryota; Metazoa; Chordata; Mammalia; Primates; Hominidae. The record is from RNAcentral.
GGAAGCAGGCCAGCCUGCCAGAGCCCAGGAACAGGUGAAAGGACCUGCUGAAGCUCACACCCGUGGACCACCCAGACUGCCUGCCGCUACAGGAUGCCCUCCGCAUCUCCCAGGACUUCUUUCCGGCAUCAGUGUGGACAUUGACCCCACUGGACUGCAGUCACAGUGGACUCCCAAGGGGCAGGAUCCACCUCUGAUGUUCAGUGAAGACUACCAGAAAAGUCUGCUAGAGCAGUACCAUCUGGGUCUGGAUCAAAAACUCAGAAAAUACGUGGUUGGAGAGCUCAUCUGGAAUUUUGCCGAUUUCAUGACUAACCAGUGUUCCUGCUCCAGCGUGGCUCCUGGACUGGCGCCAGAUGCUGGCCCUGGGGGUUUCAAUCCAAGCAUAAUUCAGUGAAGCAUGUGUUUGGCAGUGGGACCCAGCUCACUGUUUUAGGUCAGCCCAAGACUACCCCGUCGGUCAUUCUGUUCCUGCCGUCCUGUGAGGAGCCCCAAGCCAACAAGGCCACACUGGUGUGUCUCAUGAAUAACUUUAUCCGGGAAUCUUGAUGGUGACCUGGAAGGCAGAUGGUACCCUCAUCACCCAGAGCGUGGAGAAGACCACGCCCUCCAAACAGAGCAACAACAAGUACGUGGCCAGCAGCUACCUGAGCCUGACGCCCGAGCAGUGGAGGUCCCGCAGAAGCUACAGCUGCCAGGUUAUGCAAGAAGGGAGCACCGUGGAGAAGUCAGUGGCCCCUGCAGAAUGUUCAUAGGUUCCAGCCCCCACCCCACCCACAGGGGCCUGGAGCUGCAGGAUCCCAGGGGAGGGGUCUCUCUCUGCAUCCCAAGCCAUUCAGCCCUUCUCGCUGUACCCAGUAAACCCUCAAUAAAUAUCUUUGUCAGC